This is a long non-coding RNA of Clupea harengus (Atlantic herring), 313 nucleotides long. RefSeq lists it as uncharacterized. The record is from RefSeq and is a predicted model, not a curated record. The transcript has 3 exons. Lineage: Eukaryota; Metazoa; Chordata; Actinopteri; Clupeiformes; Clupeidae.
AAGCGCGAAGAGGUAAGCAUUUUAUCAACAUUUUGUUUCAACAGUCACACAUCCUUUUUACAUGUUGAAGUUGUCGUUAGUGAGAGUUUGGCAUACUUCUUUACAAGGGGAAGUGAGAAAUGGUUUUUAAAAGCAUGCUCAUGUUGACUGCAGUAUUUAUCGUGAGGCUGCCAGGUGUUCAGUGUGGAGUGAGUGUGACCUACUCCUCCACACAAGUCUGUGGCCUUAAAGGGGCAUCAGUGGUCCUGCCCUGCACAUAUCACUAUUCUUGGGUUGGAUAUUUUAAAGGAGGAGAGUGGUAUGAAGAGAAAAG